GUCAAAUGAGUUCACAUAAAUUGAAACGAAGGGAGUAAUUGAGAACAUAUUUAAGAAUUGCUAACUACAAGAUAUGAACAAUUCUAGCCGUCUGUUGUUUCUAACUAUCAGCUUUAGGAUGAAACCUCUUUCAGAGAAACAAUCCAUAUUCUGAUCACAAAAAAUUGAACAAAAGUAUGGUCCUCCUUAUUAUUCAUUUAACUCCAAGAAUCAAGAAUCCUAUGGAAUUUACUUCUCAAACUUCACAUCUCUCUCUUUUUUAUAUAUAUAUAUAUUUUACUGAUCUUUCCUUGGAUGAUUUGGAGUUCGAUGAUGUCUGCAGAUGGUUAAAUGAUAGUGGAAUUGAAGGAAAUGGAAAUAUAAACUUCUCUUCUAUGACACAUAAACUGAGAGAUGCAUACAAACAUCAUGCACAGGAAAUGCAAAAAUUAAAGCAUUUCUAUAUUCUUCUAAGCAACUUAAGUUCCAUGUUGAAAAUGAAGGGAUCAUCAAACCUUUAAACAUGACUCUGAAAUCUUCAUUUAUUUUCUGUUUCUUUGUUCUUAAAGAAACUUGCUACCUUCGACUCCCACCGGCCAAUGCCGACUUAUUAAUCAGAUUAUCCUAGUGUUGGGGUGAUUACAGCCAUUUGAUGUUAUCUCCUAUUGUUAAUGUGUAGAUAGGAAAAAAUUCAAGCAUAUAAAUACUCCAAAUUAAAUAGAAAUUUCACAAAAGGCGGAUGAGAUAUUUAGUUGUAGGAUGCAUUAGAAUCCAAUAAACACCAAUACCUUUUCUCAAGCUGCGACCAACUUUUGCUCUUGUAGACUUGGUUAACAUAGGCUCACUUAUUCAAUUGAAAGGCAACUGUAAAACGCCUCUGGAACCAGCUUAAAAUAGUGCAAAACAACAUCACACCAGCUCGUUCAUGGAGCUUUAAGAUAGAACUUACAUAGCAACUUAAAGCCGCAAAUUGCAGCUCAAAAGUAAAAGAACAACUUCGAGAAUGCAGCUAACCAUCUUGUUCGCCCUUUACAUGUCUUUAAGAAAACUGGUUAUUGAACUCCAAACGAACAUAUCUACAUCAUUCGAGACUUAACCAAUAAAUGACAUGUAUAUAAGUAUUUAACCUUCAGAUAUAUACCAACUUCGCACAUUCAUAUCCAACAAUUAGUUUCACCUAUUAAUUGCUAGAUAUUAGACCUAAUACUUUCUUAUCACAAUAUUAGAACAGGAAGAACGUUUUAACCUUUAACAAGAUAAUACAAUAGUAUUGCAGUAUCAACAAGCAAAUUGAAACUAGCACCAAAAGAAGACUUGAAAUCCAGGCACAUGGCACAUGAGUGCAAAGCUGUACAACUAGACAGGUUCUAUAGAAAUAUGCUGAUAACAACUCAUUUAAAAUUCACAUAGUUAUCUACGAAUAUGAUAUUAGAACCUUAAAAUUGCUCAAAAGAAAAAUUAGAGAUAAUAACACAAGUGAAUGAGAAUGGUAUGAAACGCAGCAAAAAGCCCUGUGGUAAAAUGCAACUGAGAUGCCUUGCUGUUUGAUAACUUUUUAUGCUUUAGGACAUUGAUAACCAUUUAUGCUUUAGGAUAUGGGUUCACUUCAAGAAACUAAUUUGCCAGAUUACUUUAUCUGGAUUAAGGGAGAGUGCAGUAAGAGGAUUGAAAAUUUUAUCAACAUUUUGUGCUAUGUGACCUCUUUUGUCUUUAAAAUGACAUGCUUUCUACAUUAUUUCCCAUUAAGCUAAAAUGCUCAUUAAACUAGCACUACAAAAGCACCGUGCGAUCCACUCUAUGAGAUUCAGUUCAAUAUUUUCAAAGUUACUAUCUCAACAUUUGAACUAUUUUCUAUUUAAGACGGCAAAAAAAUUCAACACUUACCUUAAUAAUCUUGUCAAAAACAGGAUGCUCAAAUUGAGAAACUCUUAUGAACCCUUAACGAGUUCAUUAAUCAGUUGAACAAACUCUUGUCUUGGUGAUGCUCUUACCAGUCUUAAAGCAGAGGGUUUUUGCUUUUCAAGGUCCUGAAGCAUAUUCUACCUGUAAUACAUGAAUGAGAUCAUAGAAUUUAAAAGGUUUUGAGAAUGUGGCAAGAACGAAAAUAAAAAAGCUAAACCAAGAACCCUAAAAUAAAAAUCCUGCAUUGCAUAAAGAAACCCCAAAUCUUCGAAACCCCCAAAAAUAAAGCACGCACACACGCUAACAAACCAAGAACCCUAAAAUUUCAGAAAACCUCACCAUCGAAGAGCAAGAUUUAGCUAAUUAAACUAACUAAAAAGGGGAGAAACAAGUAGAGAAAAGUUGUGGUGCGUUCUUAGACCUUGAUGUCUUCCAAGAGAGAUCUUAGUUCUGCGUUUUCGGUCUCUUCCUGCAGCAUCGUUGAAUAAAUUUCAUAUUGUAUCUUCACCGAGUUCUUCUAUGAGUUAUGGUGAGCGUCUCUCUUGUGACCUGUAUGAGUUGUAUGAGAAAUUGGAGAGUGGUCUUUGAAUUGGAGAAAUUAAAAAAGGGAAAACCUAGGGUAGGAAAAUUAGGAACCGUCACAAUAGAUAAUUUUUCCAGUCAACCGUCC
RNAcentral lists this long non-coding RNA (2551 nucleotides) under Nicotiana tabacum (common tobacco). Its description in RNAcentral is "long non-coding RNA (NTAB_LNC010804)". The record is from RNAcentral. Lineage: Eukaryota; Viridiplantae; Streptophyta; Magnoliopsida; Solanales; Solanaceae.